Molecule: unclassified non-coding RNA, 372 nt
Filed under: Hevea brasiliensis (rubber tree)
Lineage: Eukaryota; Viridiplantae; Streptophyta; Magnoliopsida; Malpighiales; Euphorbiaceae
Source: RNAcentral
GAGACCUGGCAUGUCGACAUCGAGGAAUUCCUCGAUCUUCGCAAGAACACCGGCGACGACCGCCGCCGCACCCACGACAUGAACACCGCGAACUGGGUGCCGGAUCUGUUCAUGCAGCGCGUCGAGGCUGAUGGCGAAUGGACGCUGUUNACGAGACGCCGGACCUGCACGAUCUUUACGGCAAGGCGUUCGCCGAGCGUUACGCUUUCUAUGAAGCGAAGGCUGCGCGCGGCGAGAUGCGUGUGUUCAAGACGCUGCGCGCCACGGAUUUAUGGCGCCGCAUGCUGACCAUGCUGUUCGAGACCGGACAUCCCUGGAUCACCUUCAAGGACCCGUGCAAUCUUCGUUCGCCGCAGCAGCAUGUCGGCGUCA